Molecule: long non-coding RNA, 268 nt
Filed under: Panax ginseng (ginseng)
Lineage: Eukaryota; Viridiplantae; Streptophyta; Magnoliopsida; Apiales; Araliaceae
Description: long non-coding RNA (PGIN_LNC017677)
Source: RNAcentral
AUCAGGAAAACUAAAACAUUCAUUCGAUCUAUUCAUUCAUGAACUAAAUACACCAAUAUAGGAACAUUGACAACCUCCAUAUAUAAAAUUUCAAAAUGAUCCCAAAAACAUAAAAAGUUUAAACAGACAAAUUUUUAUAUAAGUCAGAAUGAAAGCAGGAAGAACACCUAGGCACCACCUUCGUCUUCGGAGUUGAGCAAAGUUGGAUCCAGUUAAGCAGCAGACAGUUUUUCUUUGCCUAUCUCUCGGCAGUCUUCGUAGCCUUCCG